RNAcentral lists this non-coding RNA (29 nucleotides) under Cricetulus griseus (Chinese hamster). The record is from RNAcentral. Lineage: Eukaryota; Metazoa; Chordata; Mammalia; Rodentia; Cricetidae.
UGAUUUGGACUAUGACUUUCAGCGGGAUU